This 497-nucleotide ribosomal RNA is filed under the name uncultured bacterium. RNAcentral's name for it is "partial 16S ribosomal RNA". It matches the Rfam family "Bacterial small subunit ribosomal RNA", at positions 28 to 507 of the family's 1533-position model. The record is from RNAcentral.
GAUGAACGCUGGCGGCGUGCCUAAUACAUGCAAGUCGAGCGAACAGAUGAGGAGCUUGCUCCUCUGACGUUAGCGGCGGACGGGUGAGUAACACGUGGAUAACCUACCUAUAAGUCUGGGAUAACUUCGGGAAACCGGAGCUAAUACCGGAUAAUAUAUUGAACCGCAUGGUUCAAUAGUGAAAGACGGUUUUGCUGUCACUUAUAGAUGGAUCCGCGCCGCAUUAGCUAGUUGGUAAGGUAACGGCUUACCAAGGCAACGAUGCGUAGCCGACCUGAGAGGGUGAUCGGCCACACUGGAACUGAGACACGGUCCAGACUCCUACGGGAGGCAGCAGUAGGGAAUCUUCCGCAAUGGGCGAAAGCCUGACGGAGCAACGCCGCGUGAGUGAUGAAGGUCUUCGGAUCGUAAAACUCUGUUAUUAGGGAAGAACAAAUGUGUAAGUAACUAUGCACGUCUUGACGGUACCUAAUCAGAAAGCCACGGCUAACUACGUG